This 518-nucleotide long non-coding RNA is filed under the name Danio rerio (zebrafish). RNAcentral describes it as "si:ch211-127l15.7 (ENSDARG00000100646.3)". The record is from RNAcentral. Lineage: Eukaryota; Metazoa; Chordata; Actinopteri; Cypriniformes; Danionidae.
AAAGAUGGCUGCCUUGAGUUGUCUUGGAGAGACCUGACCUGACCUUCUGGAGAAACAUGGAUUUAAAGCACCAUCCUUGACCUAGUGCAGACAGAUGGCAAUUUAUGCUGAGCACAAUCAGGACUAUUCAGCGUCGGGUAGGCUGGUCCUCCCCACAGGAGAGAGGCCCAAUCACAGUCCUAAUGAACACAUUGAGAGCUGUCUGCUCCAAAUGAGUCCCAGUAGGAGCCGGCCCACAGUGGGCCUGUUGUCUCUUGAACUCACGCAACCAGAGAGUUAACGCACUAAUAUUAGAGGACAGGCUGCCGCAUGUAUCUGAAGAAGGCCCCCGGACCAUGGUGUGUGGUAAUGGAGAUAUAAAGAAGAAAGAAAUUUAUCAGGAGUCUAAUCUGAAGGGUUGCUGUUUGGUGUUGGAGAAGACAGUUUUACACAAAAUUAUAUCUGUCAUAAAUAGUAUAUAAUUACUCUGUUAUUUAGGUGAACAUCACUGUCAAGGUUUUUUAUCUUAAAGCUAUUCU